CUUAACAUAUCAUACUCAAUCACAUUAUAGGCUUUAAUACUUAAAACUUACCUCGAUCGCUAAUGUACGUCAAUUCCGACUAUUCGACCAAUUUCCCUUUUUCCACGAUCCGACUUUGUUUCCGUAAGCUCUUGAUGCUCAAUCAACAAUUUUUAACUUCAAAUUUGCAAACAGCAAUGUCAUCACUUUACAUAACAGAAAUUAAAUUUCAUUACUUAAACUAUCCACGACAAUCACCUUCCGAGCACCUUAAUUUUCUUUAAGCUAAACCACCUCAUAGUAUACAUAUACACAUUCGGCUAAUUAUAAAACAAAUCAGCACUCAUAACCGAAUCAUUGACUAAAAUCACAUUCGGUAAUAUGCUUUUAAAUAAUUUCAAUAUUUAUUAACAUCUAAAACUAAUUUGCUUGGGGAUCCAUGAAUUAUUCAAAUCGGUCGAAUAUCAUUGAAUCUCUAAAAUC
RNAcentral lists this long non-coding RNA (462 nucleotides) under Gossypium barbadense (sea-island cotton). RNAcentral's name for it is "long non-coding RNA (GBAR_LNC008218)". The record is from RNAcentral. Lineage: Eukaryota; Viridiplantae; Streptophyta; Magnoliopsida; Malvales; Malvaceae.